AGCUCCAAUAGCGUAUAUCAAUGUUGCUGCAGUUAAAAAGCUCGUAGUCGGAUAUGUGUCCUGUCAAGCUCGAACCUCUAUCAUCGUGUAGUUGGUCUCGAUUCGCUUGCGGGGCAUCUUUCAAGUGAUCACUUCUGCCCUUGAAUGGGUUGGUUGUGUGAUCUUGAACUUUUACUGUGAGUAAAUGAAAGUGCUCAACGCACGCUCACUGCAUGCUUGGAUCUUUUAGCAUGGAAUAAUAAGAUAGAACUUCGGUUCUUUUUGUUGGCUUCCAGGACCCAAGUAAUGAUCAAAAGGGAUAGUUGGGGGUGCUUAUAUUUAUAGGGUACCGGUGAAAUGGGAUGAUCCUAUAAAGAUAAACUAAUGCGAAAGCAUUCACCAAGGAUAUUUUCUUUGAUCA
Molecule: ribosomal RNA, 400 nt
Filed under: phytoplankton environmental sample
Lineage: Eukaryota
Description: partial small subunit ribosomal RNA
Rfam family: Eukaryotic small subunit ribosomal RNA
Source: RNAcentral